GUCGUUGUAGUAUAGUGGUGAGUAUCCCCGCCUGUCACGCGGGAGACCGGGUUCGAUCCCCGGCAACGGCG
Molecule: transfer RNA, 71 nt
Filed under: Ipomoea nil (Japanese morning glory)
Lineage: Eukaryota; Viridiplantae; Streptophyta; Magnoliopsida; Solanales; Convolvulaceae
Rfam family: tRNA
About the family: Transfer RNA (tRNA) molecules are approximately 80 nucleotides in length. Their secondary structure includes four short double-helical elements and three loops (D, anti-codon, and T loops). Further hydrogen bonds mediate the characteristic L-shaped molecular structure. tRNAs have two regions of fundamental functional importance: the anti-codon, which is responsible for specific mRNA codon recognition, and the 3' end, to which the tRNAs corresponding amino acid is attached (by aminoacyl-tRNA synthetases). tRNAs cope with the degeneracy of the genetic code in two manners: having more than one tRNA (with a specific anti-codon) for a particular amino acid; and 'wobble' base-pairing, i.e. permitting non-standard base-pairing at the 3rd anti-codon position.
Source: Rfam by way of RNAcentral